GAUGAACGCUGGCGGCGUGCCUAAUACAUGCAAGUCGAACGCAUUGUGGUUGAAAUGAUAUGAAGAACUUGUUCAGAUUUGAUUUUCAACAUUGCAAUGAGUGGCGAACGGGUGAGUAACACGUGGGAAACCUACCUCUUAGCAGGGGAUAACAUUUGGAAACAAAUGCUAAUACCGUAUAAUAAUUAAAACCGCAUGGUUUUAGUUUAAAAGAUGGUCUUGCUAUCACUAAGAGAUGGUCCCGCGGUGUAUUAGUUAGUUGGUGAGGUAAUGGCUCACCAAGACAAUGAUACAUAGCCGAGUUGAGAGACUGACGGCCACAAUGGGACU
RNAcentral lists this ribosomal RNA (330 nucleotides) under uncultured bacterium. Its description in RNAcentral is "bacterial SSU rRNA". It matches the Rfam family "Bacterial small subunit ribosomal RNA", at positions 28 to 320 of the family's 1533-position model. The record is from RNAcentral.